RNAcentral lists this long non-coding RNA (635 nucleotides) under Ananas comosus (pineapple). Its description in RNAcentral is "long non-coding RNA (ACOM_LNC035928)". The record is from RNAcentral. Lineage: Eukaryota; Viridiplantae; Streptophyta; Magnoliopsida; Poales; Bromeliaceae.
UAACGACUGAAAACUUAGUAGCACCAAGCACUUCAUGCUAUUAUUAAUAGCAUAAUAGCCGAACUCGUAUAUAUGUAUAUAUACAUACAUAUAGAGAGAGAGAGAGAGAGAGAAAGCAGAACUGCUGUGCUUUUAGGAGCACGUAGGCCUCCGUGCUCCUGAGCCGUUUUCGAUGAUGGAAUUUUCGAAUCGACGAUUGACUCCGUUAGACUUGAUCAAGCAUAUUUGAAGUUCCUAGAAAAUAAUUUUUGCAAUUUUUUGAUAUCAUUUACCCAUAUAUUGAAAGGAUUUAACAUCAACGGCUAAAAAUAAAAAUUCUAUAAAAAGUGAUGAUAAAGCACUAAAAUUUUCAAUCAGAGAUAUUGAUCCUGUUGUAGAUAGUAUAAAGAAUUUUGUAUCAAAAUUUCAUCUGAUUUGAAUACUUCUACACCGUUAAACUUAAAAACGGUAGACAUCAACCAUUAAAAAAUAUUGAUUUUGACCCUUUCGAUCACUAGGAAAAUGAUAUCGAAAAAUAGCAAAAAUUAUUUUCUAGAAACUUCAAAUAUUAUAGAUCAAAUCUAACGAAGCCAAUUGUCAAUUCGAAAAUUCCAUCAUCGAAAACGACUCAGUAGCACGGAGGCCUCCGUGCUCCU